GACGAACGCUGGCGGCGUGCUUAACACAUGCAAGUCGAACGGAAAGGCCCUGCUUUUGUGGGGUGCUCGAGUGGCGAACGGGUGAGUAACACGUGAGUAACCUGCCCUUGACUUUGGGAUAACUUCAGGAAACUGGGGCUAAUACCGGAUAGGAGCUCCUGCUGCAUGGUGGGGGUUGGAAAGUUUCGGCGGUUGGGGAUGGACUCGCGGCUUAUCAGCUUGUUGGUGGGGUAGUGGCUUACCAAGGCUUUGACGGGUAGCCGGCCUGAGAGGGUGACCGGCCACAUUGGGACUGGGAUACGGCCCAGACUCCUACGGGAGGCAGAAGUGGGGAAUAUUGCACAAUGGGCGGAAGCCUGAUGCAGCAACGACGCGUGCGGGAUGACGGCCUUCGGGUUGUAAACCGCUUUCGCCUGUGACGAAGCGUGAGUGACGGUAAUGGGUAAAGAAGCACCGGCUAACUACGUG
Molecule: ribosomal RNA, 468 nt
Filed under: uncultured bacterium
Lineage: Bacteria
Description: partial 16S ribosomal RNA
Rfam family: Bacterial small subunit ribosomal RNA
Source: RNAcentral